GGGAAAAACCUGGAAUUGAGGAGAAUCCCAUUUUUCCCAUUUUUCUGCUUAUAAUUGUGAAUUCAGUAACAAAGUUUGGAAUCAAUCCCACCUCAGAACCCACCUCUGAUGCCAAUUUGUUAUAUAUCAGACCUACAUAAUUACUGAAACAGAAAAAUAGGAAAAGAGGUAGGGACUGGGUGAGAAGAGAAUUAGACUAGGUGAGGAGAAAUAGAAGUGGAUGAUAUUAAAAUUAGAGAAGAAGUGAGAAAGAAGAAUUUUGCAUUUGUUAUUGAUUAUAGAAUGCUCAAUUACAAUUAUUCUUCUCCUAUUUAUACUAACCUCUACAAAAUAACAGAAUACUGCCCUAUCCAUUAUAUUCAGCCCACCUAAGUCAACUUAUCCAGCC
RNAcentral lists this unclassified non-coding RNA (388 nucleotides) under Hevea brasiliensis (rubber tree). Lineage: Eukaryota; Viridiplantae; Streptophyta; Magnoliopsida; Malpighiales; Euphorbiaceae. The record is from RNAcentral.